This 462-nucleotide ribosomal RNA is filed under the name uncultured Sphingobacteriales bacterium. RNAcentral's name for it is "bacterial SSU rRNA". It matches the Rfam family "Bacterial small subunit ribosomal RNA", at positions 920 to 1382 of the family's 1533-position model. Lineage: Bacteria; Pseudomonadati; Bacteroidota; Sphingobacteriia; Sphingobacteriales. The record is from RNAcentral.
CCCGCACAAGCGGAGGAACAUGUGGUUUAAUUCGAUGAUACGCGAGGAACCUUACCUGGGCUUAAAUGUAGAGUGCAUUUUUUAGAGAUAGAAAUUCCCUUCGGGGCUUUCUGCAAGGUGCUGCAUGGUUGUCGUCAGCUCGUGCCGUGAGGUGUCGGGUUAAGUCCCAUAACGAGCGCAACCCUUAUCGUUAGUUGCCAUCUGGUAAUGCAGGGGACUCUAGCGAAACUGCCACCGUAAGGUGAGAGGAAGGUGGGGAUGACGUCAAAUCAGCACGGCCCUUAUGUCCAGGGCUACACACGUGUUACAAUGGUCGGUACAGAGGGCAGCUACCUGGUGACAGGAUGCUAAUCUCGAAAACCGGUCUCAGUUCGGAUCGAAGUCUGCAACUCGACUUCGUGAAGCUGGAUUCGCUAGUAAUCGCGCAUCAGCUAUGGCGCGGUGAAUACGUUCCCGGGCCUU